This 1478-nucleotide ribosomal RNA is filed under the name uncultured bacterium. RNAcentral's name for it is "16S ribosomal RNA". It matches the Rfam family "Bacterial small subunit ribosomal RNA". The record is from RNAcentral.
AGAGUUUGAUCAUGGCUCAGGACGAACGCUGGCGGCGCGCCUAACACAUGCAAGUCGAACGGACGAAGGGAGCUUGCUCCCCGAGUUAGUGGCGGACGGGUGAGUAACACGUGAGCAACCUGCCUUUCAGAGGGGGACAACAGUUGGAAACGACUGCUAAUACCGCAUAACGUGGCUUGGGGGCAUCCCCGGGCUACCAAAGAUUUAUCGCUGAAAGAUGGGCUCGCGUCUGAUUAGAUAGUUGGUGAGGUAACGGCCCACCAAGUCGACGAUCAGUAGCCGGACUGAGAGGUUGAACGGCCACAUUGGGACUGAGACACGGCCCAGACUCCUACGGGAGGCAGCAGUGGGGGAUAUUGGACAAUGGGGGAAACCCUGAUCCAGCGACGCCGCGUGAGGGAAGAAGGUUUUCGGAUUGUAAACCUCUGUUGACAGGGAAGAAAAUGACAGUACCUGUUCAGAAAGCCACGGCUAACUACGUGCCAGCAGCCGCGGUAAUACGUAGGUGGCAAGCGUUGUCCGGAAUUACUGGGUGUAAAGGGAGCGUAGGCGGGGCGGCAAGUCAGAAGUGAAAAUCAUGGGCUCAACUCAUGACCUGCUUUUGAAACUGUUGCUCUUGAGUGAAGUAGAGGCAAGCGGAAUUCCUAGUGUAGCGGUGAAAUGCGUAGAUAUUAGGAGGAACACCAGUGGCGAAGGCGGCUUGCUGGGCUUUUACUGACGCUGAGGCUCGAAAGCGUGGGGAGCAAACAGGAUUAGAUACCCUGGUAGUCCACGCUGUAAACGAUGAUUACUAGGUGUGGGGGGAUUGACCCCUUCCGUGCCGCAGUUAACACAAUAAGUAAUCCACCUGGGGAGUACGACCGCAAGGUUGAAACUCAAAGGAAUUGACGGGGGCCCGCACAAGCAGUGGAGUAUGUGGAUUAAUUCGAAGCAACGCGAAGAACCUUACCGGGUCUUGACAUCGAGUGACCGCUCAAGAGAUUGAGCCUUCUCUUCGGAGACACGAAGACAGGUGGUGCAUGGUUGUCGUCAGCUCGUGUCGUGAGAUGUUGGGUUAAGUCCCGCAACGAGCGCAACCCUUAUCUUCAGUAGCCAGCGGUCCGGCCGGGCACUCUGGAGAGACUGCCAGGGAUAACCUGGAGGAAGGUGGGGACGACGUCAAAUCAUCAUGCCCCUUAUGAUCUGGGCGACACACGUGCUACAAUGGCAGUUACAGAGUGAGGCGAACCCGCGAGGGGGAGCGAACCACAAAAAGGCUGUCCCAGUUCGGACUGCAGUCUGCAACCCGACUGCACGAAGCUGGAAUCGCUAGUAAUCGCAAAUCAGAAUGUUGCGGUGAAUACGUUCCCGGGUCUUGUACACACCGCCCGUCACACCAUGGGAGUCGGAAAUGCCCGAAGCCAGUGACCCAACCAAUAGGAGGGAGCUGUCGAAGGUGGAGCCGGUGACUGGGGUGAAGUCGUAACAAGGUAGCCGUA